AUGUGGGUUCCUCUAACGUGCGCAGCUAGAGCUCUACUUAGCUGAAAAGAUGAGAUGAAACUGACAUUCCGUUCAGGGUAGCAGAGCUGACUAACAGAAAUCUAAGCGUACCAUCUUUCUUUUUCUUUUCUUUUUUUUCUUGUUUUUUUCGCUUUAACUUCUUUUUAACUUUUGCACUGACAUGAUUUAUAUCAAGCAUAAUCGGAAAGAGAGAUCCUUAUGUAAUCUUCAUGUUUAGAAUCAAUAUGAAGUAGUCUCUCUUCGUUUCA
This is a long non-coding RNA of Telopea speciosissima, 269 nucleotides long. RefSeq lists it as uncharacterized. The record is from RefSeq and is a predicted model, not a curated record. The transcript has 3 exons. NCBI's taxonomy places the organism in Eukaryota, Viridiplantae, Streptophyta, Magnoliopsida, Proteales, Proteaceae.